GACGAACGCUGGCGGCGUGCUUAACACAUGCAAGUCGAACGGAAAGGCCCCUUCGGGGGUACUCGAGUGGCGAACGGGUGAGUAACACGUGAGUAACCUGCCCUUGACUUCGGGAUAACUUCAGGAAACUGGGGCUAAUACCGGAUAGGAAUCCUUGCUGCAUGGUGGGGGUUGGAAAGCUUCGGCGGUUUUGGAUGGACUCGCGGCUUAUCAGCUUGUUGGUGGGGUAGUGGCUUACCAAGGCUUUGACGGGUAGCCGGCCUGAGAGGGCGACCGGCCACAUUGGGACUGAGAUACGGCCCAGACUCCAACGGGAGGCAGCAGUGGGGAAUAUUGCACAAUGGGCGGAAGCCUGAUGCAGCAACGCCGCGUGCGGGAUGACGGCCUUCGGGUUGUAAACCGCUUUCAGCAGGGGCGAAGCUUGUGGUGACGGUACCUGCAGAAGAAGCACCGGCUAACUACGUG
This 465-nucleotide ribosomal RNA is filed under the name uncultured bacterium. RNAcentral describes it as "partial 16S ribosomal RNA". It matches the Rfam family "Bacterial small subunit ribosomal RNA", at positions 28 to 507 of the family's 1533-position model. The record is from RNAcentral.